This 2416-nucleotide long non-coding RNA is filed under the name Anas zonorhyncha (Eastern spot-billed duck). Its description in RNAcentral is "lncRNA (ENSAZOG00000016259.1)". Lineage: Eukaryota; Metazoa; Chordata; Aves; Anseriformes; Anatidae. The record is from RNAcentral.
AUGUGUACGUUUCCAAAAAAAAGUCAGUGCCGGUUGCUGGAUAUGUGUCUGAAGCCUUCCAAGCAUGAAUCACCUUUCAUGCGGAACAAAGAAACUGUUGCACUUCAGACAGCCACCCCGCUGAAUUAUUUAAUGCAACUAAAUACCUGCAGAGCUCCGCCGCGUUACGUAAACCUGCAAAACUGGCUCAAUUCCUUGCCUCGAAUCAAUGUCAUGCUCUCUUUCUGUAAGCUACUUCAUGGCAUCAAACGAGUGACUUGGAGCAAUUCUGGAGAUGUUUGGAGAAGGAACAGAAAACACAGGGUCAGCUAGUCAAAAAUGGAUUACCCAGGCAUGAAACAUGACCAGCCUGGCUUUGUGUAUCCUUGAAUUUGCUCUACAGCUAUCUCCUCCAACAUUCAUCUGGAAGUGCAUCAACUCACAGACUGCUUCCCAUGAUAAACACACUGUAUGUUACCCACAUUUAAACUAGCAUGUUGUCCUAAUGAAUCUCUCAGACAAUUCACUGAUUCCCCAAGUGCAAAACUACUUUACCAUUUUUCUCACUCUUUCAGAUUUUUUACAGUAGCAUAGGAAAAAGUGGAGUAUGGUGCUUCCUUGGGAAAACAGGCCAAUAUUCAUCCUCUGCAAAUCUGAGCUAAGAUAUCCUUUCCAAAAACCUCUCUGAUUUAAGAUGGUGGUUUCAAGCCAUCUCACAUAUUGUAUGUAUCACUCCUCAGUUUUUAUUAGUGACUUUUUUUUUAUACCAUUAAAACACAGAUAGAUUUUCCUAGACAGGUAAAUAGGCAUUAGAAAAGAAAGAGUGAAUAUGAUUGUAGAAAUGGCCCGCAAAAUCCAUGCCUUACAUUGCCUUUGUAAUGUUUUCAGAUGAAACUUUGAUGACAAGAGUAGACGGUGGCUUACGAAAUGUAGUGGGUACCUAGGAAGUUCUGGAAUAACACAUUGGCCCAUUGACCCCUAAAAUUUUUGAACCACUGAUUUAAAUCCACUGCCUGUGAACAUUAACACCACAUACUGAAGAAUAUGGGUACUGAUGCUACCUGUGCAAGUAUCAGCAGUGCAGGCUUGUUCUGUUGUUCAAGAGAAUAAGAGGAAAAAGCCAUUUAUCGUCUUGUAUCUUGCUUGGUUUCCAUGUUAGUACCACCUGCAUGUUUGCAGAGGAGGGAGAAUUAUAGCAGAAUGGUACAAUUUAGGAAGAAUUCUGCUGAAAAACCUUACAGAUUCAAGAGAGAUUCAGAUGAUGCUUGUAAAAUAAAGGGAGUCAGUAGUGAAUUACUGUUGAUACAAAGAACUAGACUUGAUUUAAAGUUAUUGAAGCAUGAACUGGGGUCAUGUUACUCACUUUAAUAGAGCUGCUGCAAAUUUAUAUUGACGUACAUGAAUUCAGAAUCAAUUCCCUCAUGCAUAGUAUUUUAUGGUAAAACUCAGAUUUCAAACUGAACAGCAGGCAUGCUGCCAUAUCAGCAGGAGCUUUAAUUAUCGUAAUUAAAGAAAAUCCACAUAUCUGAAAGAUAGGUUGCACUUUCAAGCAUUCUAGAGAGAACAUUAAUGUUCUGAUAAAAUCUUUAAUUUCAUUUACUUACCUUUCUCAACAUAUUUAUUUAUUUUUUUUAUUAUUCCAUAUAGUUUAUAAUCUUUUUAUAGCGUGUACGUGAGAGCCAUUUCAGGGCAUUUCAAUAUAGGCUACGACCAUCUUCUCUUCCAAAGACUGCAACAGAUGCCUUGCAAAAAUCACUCAUGUAUUCAAGUGUGGUGACCAGUUCUUAUCUGAAAACUCAUAGUUUCAGUAAAAGUUAUCAGUCCAAAAUGCUUAUACUCCUGGCAUACCAAAGCUGAUAUCCAGGGGUGUGUUGAUGUAUUGUACUUCUGAUCUGGCCGUCUCCCUUUCCAUUGCUGCUGCUUACAUUCUGCCACACACCACGGCAAUGUCCGGGCUGCCUCAUUUCUCUGGUCUCCCUGAGAAAACCAAAGACAACGCGCAACUCUGAGUGUCCUGCUGGCUCUGUGUGGUGCCUGCUGAUGGGGAAAGCUGGUCGGCAACCCUGAGCCUUGGAGGUACCGAUGGGCACGAGCUUUGUGGCGUGGCAGAGCAGCAACCAGCACGGUGGAGGGACACGUAGGCAUGGUUAUUACUUCAGCAGGAUCUGCAAGGCAGAUAAAGCAGCGCUCUCUCUGCUUUCUGGUAAACAGGAAGCUCUGGUGGAGAGGUAGCGAAGACUUCUCUGCCUUCGGGGCCGCAGGAAGCGCAGGGGCUUCACGCAGACGUUUGGGAGUCUGCACCCAGAGCAGGGCACCCUCCUCCUCCUCGUGCCCUGCGCCGCUGCUGCCCUUCCCUGGGCGCAAACCCCCGGGUGUCUGCGUGAAGCGGUCGCCUCGAGUACAGGUAGGCUGCGGCAGGCGAGGCCGGGUGCCUGAA